GUCAGGAUCUUGGUCAGUAUCAUGUUAGUAUCAUGGUCAGACACAUGUCACUAUCAUGGUCAGUAUCAUGUUAGUAUAAUGGUCAGAAACAUGUCAGUAUCAUGGUCAGUAACAUGUCAGUAUUAUAUCAGUAUUAUGGUAAGUAUCAUGUCAGUUUUGUGGUCAGUAUCACUGUCAGGAUCUUGGUCAGUAUCAUGUUAGUAUCAUGGUCAGACACAUGUCACUAUCAUGGUCAGUAUCAUGAUAGUAUCAUGUUCAGUAUCAUGGUUAGCAUCAUGUCAUUAUCAUGGUUUGUAUCAUGUAAGUUUCAUGGUCAGUUACAUGUUUGUAUCAAAUCAAUAUGAUGGUAAGCAUCAUGUUGGUUUCAUGGUCAGUAACAUGUCAGUAUCAUGGCCAGAAUCAUGUUAGUAUAAUGGUCAGAAACAUGUCAGUAUCAUGGUUUGUAUCAUGGUUUGUAUCAUGGUGAGUAACAUGUCAGGAUCAUGGUCAGUAUCAUGUUAGUAUCAUGGUCAGUAACAUGUCAGAAUUGUGGUCAGUAUCAUUGUUUUCAUCAGGUCAUUAUCAUAUCAGUAUUAUGGUUCGUAUCAUGUUAGUAUCAUGUCAAUAUCAUGGCCAGUAUCAUGUUAGUAUCAUGGUCAGGGACAUGUCAGUUUUUUGGUCAGUAUCAUGUUAGUAUUAUGGUCAGUAACAUGUCAGUGUCAUGGUCAGUAUAAUGAUUUAGUCCAAUGCAGUAUAAUGAUCAGAAACAUGUCAGUAUCAUGGUCAGUAACAUGUCAGUAUUAUAUCAGUAUUAUGGUAAGUAUCAUGUCAGUUUUGUGGUCAGUAUCACUGUCAGGAUCUUGGUCAGUAUCAUGUUAGUAUCAUGGUCAGACACAUGUCACUAUCAUGGUCAGUAUCAUGUUAGUAUCAUGUUCAGUAUCAUGGUUAGUAUCAUGUCAUUAUCAUGGUUUGUAUCAUGUCAGUUUCAUGGUCAGUUACAUGUUUGUAUCAAAUCAAUAUGAUGGUAAGCAUCAUGUUGAUAUCAUGGUCAGUAACAUGUAAGUAUCAUGGCCAGAAUCAUGUUAGUAUAAGGGUCAGAAACAUUUAAGUAUUAUGGUCAGUAUCAUGGUUUUUAUUACGUCAGUUUCAUGGUCAGGGUCAUGGCCAGGAACAUGUCAGUAUCAUGGUUAGAAUCAUGUUAGUAUCAUGGUCGGUAACAUGUCAGUAUCAUGUUCAGUAUCAUGGUUAGUAUCAUGUCAUUAUCAUGGUUUGUAUCAUGUUGGUUUCAUGGUCAGUAACAUGUCAGUAUCAUGGCCAGAAUCAUGUUAGUAUAAUGGUCAGUAACAUGUAAGUAUCAUGUACAGUAUCAUGGUUUGUAUCAUGGUUAGUAACAUGUCAGGAUCAUGGUCAGUAUCAUGUUAGUAUCAUGGUCAAUAACAUGUCAGAAUUGUGGUCAGAAUCAUUGUUUUCAUCAGGUCAGGAUCAUGGUCAGUAACAUGUCAUUAUCAUAUCAGUAUUAUGGUUCGUAUCAUGUUAGUAUCAUGGUCAGUAUCAUGUCAAUAUCAUGGACAGUAUCAUGUUAGUAUCAUGGUCAGGAACAUGUCAGUAUUUUGGUCAGUAUCAUGUUAGUAUCAUGGUCAGUAACAUGUCAGUGUCAUGGUCAGUAUAAUGAUUUAGUCCAAUGCAGUAUCAUGGUCAGUAUCGUGUUAGUAUCAUGGUCAGUAACAUGUCAAGAUCAUGGUCAGUAUCAUGUCCUUAUCUUUGUC
RNAcentral lists this long non-coding RNA (1745 nucleotides) under Xyrichtys novacula (pearly razorfish). Lineage: Eukaryota; Metazoa; Chordata; Actinopteri; Labriformes; Labridae. The record is from RNAcentral.